CCUACGGGGGACUGCAGUGGGGGAUAUUGGACAAUGGGGGGAACCCUGAUCCAGCGAAGCCGCGUGAGUGAAGAAGUUUUUCGGUAUGUAAAGCUCUGUCAGCCGGGAAGAAAGAAAUGACGGUACCUGACCAAGAAGCCUCGGCUAACUACGUGCCAGCAGCCACGGUAAUACGUCGGGGGCAAGCGUUAUCAGGACUUACUGGGUGUAAAGGGAGGGUAGACGGUUAAGUAAGUCUGGAGUGAAAGGCCGGGGCCCAACCACGGGACUGCUCUGGAAACUAUCGACCUGGAGUUCAGGAGAGGUAUGCGGAAUUCCUGGUGUAGCGGUGAAAUGCGUAGAUAUUAGGAGGAACACCAGUGGCGAAGGCGGCUUACUGGACUGUAACUGACGUUGAGGCUCGAAAGCGUGGGUAUCAAACAGGAUUAGAUACCCUAGUAGUC
RNAcentral lists this ribosomal RNA (443 nucleotides) under uncultured bacterium. Its description in RNAcentral is "partial 16S ribosomal RNA". It matches the Rfam family "Bacterial small subunit ribosomal RNA", at positions 338 to 795 of the family's 1533-position model. The record is from RNAcentral.